This 253-nucleotide ribosomal RNA is filed under the name uncultured bacterium. RNAcentral describes it as "partial 16S ribosomal RNA". It matches the Rfam family "Bacterial small subunit ribosomal RNA", at positions 524 to 776 of the family's 1533-position model. The record is from RNAcentral.
UACGUAGGGUGCAAGCGUUGUCCGGAUUUAUUGGGCGUAAAGAGCGUGUAGGCGGCCUUACAGGUCAGCUGUGAAAACUCGAGGCUCAACCUCGAGACGUCGGUUGAAACCGUAUGGCUAGAGUCCGGAAGAGGAGAGUGGAAUUCCCGGUGUAGCGGUGAAAUGCGCAGAUAUCGGGAAGAACACCCGUGGCGAAGGCGGCUCUCUGGGACGGUACUGACGCUGAGACGCGAAAGCGUGGGGAGCGAACAGG